AUUUUUGGGUUUUAAACAUCACACAUACUCGACCAAUGUACUCGAGUGCAAGGUCUCCAGGUGCAACAGAAGAUUUUCAAAAUUUUGUACUCCAACGGGCUGUACACUCGAUCUCCAGGUCUUCUGUAGAGUAAAUGUUUUGAAUUUUUACUCUAUCUCCGCGUUGUUCUCUUGUCUCUGAAAACCACAAACACAACUAAAACAAAUCAAAAAUAUCAAGAAAGUAAAAAUUAUUUACAAGGAUAGUCAUGGGACUUCCUCCCAAGUGAGCUUGUUUAAAGUCAUUAGCUUGACUCCUUUACUCCUUUGAUCAUCAAGAAGCUCCUGGAGAUGAACCGAUGUCAACUCUGGAAGGAUUUGGUUUGCUAAGUAUUUCUUGAGCCUUUGACCAUUUACUGUAAAAUCUCCACUCUUACCAGCUAGAGUGACUGCUCCAUAAGGACGGACCUCAGUGAUGCAGAAGGGGCCAGACCAUCUGGAUUUAAGUUUUCCUGGAAAGAGUUUCAAGCGAGAGUUGAAUAGCAGCACCUGAUCACCAACCUGGAAAUCCUUAGUGAUGAUCUUCUUGUCAUGGAAAAGCUUGGUUCUCUCCUUGUAGAUUUUAGAACUUUCAUAAGCUUCUAGACGGAUCUCAUCGAGGUCACUGAGUUGGAUCAAUCGCUUCUCCUCAGCAGUUUUUAUGUCAAAGUUCAGAAGUUUUACCGCCCACAUUGCUUUGUACUCGAGCUCAACGGGUAGAUGACAUGAUUUUCCAUAGAGAAGAUUGAAAGGAGUUGUACCUAUGGGGGUCUUGAAGGCUGUCCUGUAAGCCCAUAAUGCAUCAUCUAGCUUUGCAGACCAGUCUUUCCUUGUAAUCCCAACAGUCUUUUCCAGAAUUGUUUUUAUCUCCUUAUUGGAGAUCUCAACCUGCCCGCUUGUCUGUGGAUGAUAAGGAGUGGCGACCUUGUGCUUUACCCCAUGCUUCUUCAAGAGGUUCUCAAAAACCUUGUUGAUGAAAUGCUUUCCGCCAUCACUGAUUACUACCCUGGGAACUCCAAAUCUUGGGAAGAUUAUGGUUUUGAACAACUUCAGCACAACUUUUGCAUCGUUGGUAGGACUAGCAAUAGCUUCGACCCACUUUGAUACGUAGUCUACGGCGACCAGUAUAUAUUUAUUACCGUAUGAAGAUGGGAAUGGACCCAUAAAAUCAAUCCCCCAUACAUCAAAGAUCUCAACUUCCAAGAUUGGAUUCUGAGGCAUCUCAUUUCUUCUGCCGAUGUUGCCUUUUCUCUGGCAUGAAUCACACUUUGAUACAAACUCCUGAGCGUCCUUAAACAUUGUUGGCCACCAAAAGCCUGCUUGAAGAAUCUUGGACACUGUCUUGAACGUCGCGAAGUGACCACCAUAUGCUGAGCCAUGGCAAUGCAGCAGGAUACCUUCCACUUCAUCUUCUGAGACACAUCUCCUGUAGAUCUUAUCUUCACAGAGAGUGUAAAGAUAAGGCUCAUCCCAGUAGUAAUGGUGUAUGUCUCUGAAAAACUUCUUCCUUUCAUAACUUGUCAGGUUGGGAGGCUCUACUCUGCAUGCCAAGUAAUUGACGUGAUCAGCAUACCAUGGAGAUUCUCCUUCAACAGCAUUUAACUGGUGGAACUCUUUCCCACUGUAGCUUUUUCCGAAGAACUCUAUAACCAUGAGCUGUUCUUCUGGCAUUGAAUCGUCUAUCGGAAGUGGUUCUUCAAUUCUCAUCCUUGACAGAUGGUCCGCUGCGCCAUUUUCAAUGCCUUUCUUAUCUACUAUCUCCAUGUCAAACUCUUGCAAUAAAAGUUUCCAUCUUAACAGUCUUGGUUUAGUAUCCUUCUUGGCAUACAGAUGCCUCAAAGCUGCAUGGUCUGUAUAGACAGUUACCUUUGAUCCAACCAAAUAGCUUCUGAACUUUUCAAAUGCGAAUACAACAGCUAGAAGCUCCUUCUCAGUUGUUGCAUAUCUUCCCUGAGCGUCAUCCAACAUUCGGCUGGCGUAAUAUAUGACAUGAAGCUUCUUGUUUAUUUUCUGGCCUAAAACAGCUCCUACUGCGUAAUCCGAUGCAUCACACAUGAUUUCAAAUGGAUAGUCCCAAUUAGGCGCUCGAACGACCGGAGCAGAUACCAAAGCGUCCUUGAUGGUUUGAAAGGAUUUGAGGCAGUCAUCAUCGAAUUCAAAUUCGGUUUCCUUGCACAAUAGUCUGGUUAACGGUCGGGCUAUCUUGGAGAAGUCUUUAAUGAAUCUUCUAUAGAAUCCAGCAUGACCAAGGAAGCUUCUGAUGUCCUUCACCGUUUUUGGUGGCUGCAGCUGCAUCAUUACUUCAACUUUUCCUUUGUCAACCUCUAUACCUUUCUCUGAUAUCUUGUGACCCAAUACUAUGCCUUCCUUCACCAUGAAAUGACACUUUUCCCAAUUGAGAACAAGAUUCGUCUCCUCGCACCUGGUCAAUACCCUGCCAAGAUUCAACAAACAUGAGGAGAAAGAGGGGCCAUAGACCGAAAAAUUGUCCAUGAAAACCUCCACCAUCUCCUCAAUUAAGUCUGAAAAUAUAGAGGUCAUACACCUCUGAAAUGUUGCAGGAGCAUUGCAUAAACCAAAUGGCAUUCUCUUAUAGGCAAAAGUUCCAUAAGGACACGUGAAAGUGGUUUUUUCUUGAUCAUUAGGGUGAAUUGGUAUUUGAAAGAAACCACUGUAUCCAUCAAGAAAGCAAUAAUAUGGAUGAUUAGCUAAUCGUUCAAGCAUUUGGUCAAUGAAUGGUAAAGGAAAAUGAUCUUUCCUAGAUGCAGCAUUCAACUUCCUAUAAUCUAUGCACAUUCUAUGACCAGUUAUAGUUGUAGUAGGUAUCAGUUCAUCUUUUUCAUUUUUGACAACAGUCAUUCCACCCUUUUUAGGGACGCAAUGCACUGGAGAAACCCAAGUACUAUCAGAGAUAGGGUAGAUGACACCAGCAUCAAGCAGUUUCAAAAUUUCUUUUUUCACUACUUCUUUCAAAUUGGGAUUUAACCUCCUCUGUGGUUCAAUGCUGGAAUAGGAUUCGUUUUCAAGAUGGAUCCUAUGGUUGCAUAAACUAGGUGAAAUUCCCUUAAUGUCGGAUAAUGAAUAACCAAUUGCUCUCCUAUACUUUCUAACCUCAGAUAAUAGCAGGUUCACUUCAUCACUAUUUAACUCAGCAUUAAUGAUCACAGGGUAAGUAGAGUUUGGACCAAGGAAUGCGUACCUUAGAACUUUUGGAAGUGGUUUGAGAUCAACCUUCGGUGCCUUAAGUUCAGACCAGUCAUCUGAAGUUGGAAUGAUCGGCUCCCUAGGUUCGUCGGAAGACAAGGUCGAGUGGUUGCUUGAGUACGUCCUCGAGAGUGCAGGAUGAACUCGAGUUGACCCUUCUUCGCUCAUUACCAUUACCUCUGUUCCUGGUCCAUUUAAUUCCUCAAAGGGUUCUGAUUCUUCCAUCGCUUUAUGGGAGUCUAACAGCUUCUGGUAUCCCAAUGUUUCUAAAUGCAGAACCCAUCUUCACCACUUUUGGUUAAAGCACUGUUAAGAUGAUCUUCUUCUGCCACCUCUUCCAGUAACUCAUCAGCUAACUGAUCCAUUUCUUCGAUCCAAAAGAGUUGCCCUUCUAUGGUAGGCUUCUUCAUCGCGUCUUUGACAUCAAAGGUCAUCCUAAAGUCUUUGCCAAGGUUUAGAUCAAUUUUCCCUUUCUUGACAUCAAUCAUAGCUCCUGCAGUGGCUAAGAAAGGUCUCCCUAGAAUCAACGGGUCCUUGGGCUCUUCAUCCAUCUCCAGGACUACGAAGUCAGUAGGUAUCUCCACAGCACCGAUCCUGAUUGGGAGGUUUUCGAGCAAACCAUGAAGAAUCCUCACUGAUCUGUCAGCUAGGAUGAGGGAUAUAUUGCAGGACUUGUAUUGAGUGAACCCCAAUCUUUUGGCGACAGAAAGCGGCAUGAGACUGACUGAUGCUCCUAAAUCGCAUUGGCAUCUAUUGAAAGCCAAUGGACCUAAAGAGCACGGUAGAGUGAACGAACCAGGAUCACUAAGCUUCUUAGGAAUGAUCUUCUUCUGUAUGAUAGCGCUGCAUUCAUGACUCAAUACCACCAUCUCUUGCACUUCUUGAAUUCUCUCCACAAUCAAGUCUUUCAGAAACUUGUGAGAGUCUGGAAUUAGCGCUAGAGCGUCAACAAGAGGUAUCCGCAACUCAACCUCCUUAAUGUUCUUGGCAAACAUAGCUCUAUAUUUGUCUGCCAACGCUUUCUUGUGACGGCCAGGAAAUGGAAGCUGCGGUUUGUAGGGAGGAGGGACAAAGACCUUUUCUUUGUUUUUGACAGCAACUGGCUUUGGAGCAGUUGGUGAUGCUGCUGGGAUGACAGGUCGAGUGGUCGGUCAAGUAACGCUGUCGAGUGGCAGCUCGAGUGGUUGCUCGAGUGACUGGUCGAGUGGUUUGUCAGCUUGAUCUUUCUCGAGACUUAAAUCCUUCCCAUCUUGAUCUUCACUGUCCUCAGUGACCGUGUUUGGUUCCUCCCUAGUUGGAAGUGCUUUUCCACUACGCAAGGUGAUAGCAUGAGCAUAUUCUUUUGGAUUCUGAACUGCUUUGCCUAGUAGUUGGCUUGUCUGUUUUGGAGCUGAAGAAGAUGCACAAUGUCCCUCUAAGUAACGGACUUUGGUAUUCAGUGUUUCCAUCUUGACAUUGAGAUCAUUGUAGCUACAGUCCAGCUUGUUAUGUAACUCAGAUAUCUUCUUUGCCAUCUCCAUGGAGCCAGAGGCUUGCCCGUGAAGUAGCUGUUGUAGCAUUUGUAGCAUUUGUUUCAUAUCAGCGUGAGGAGCAGCAGGACCUUGGUUUUGCUGAGGUGCAAACCCAGGUGGUGGUGGUUGCUGGUAGUUCCCCUGGAAUUGCUGCUUAGGAACGAAACCUUGGUUGUAGGGAACAAAAGGUUUGUUCUGACCUUGUUGUUGCUAUGGAGGGUACACCUGAUCCUGAGGAUUAGCAACGUUUGUGCUGCGGUAGGAGAGGUUGGGAUUGUUGGUUUUGAAGUUGUUGUAUCCUUUGUAGCCACCUUGGUUGUUGUUGAUGUAGCUGACUUCUUCCAACUGGUUACCCUCCCCAUCUUGGACUUCAUACUGCUCGUCAUCAACAAGGAAGUGCACAUGCUUAUGCUGGCUAAGAAGAAUCCUGUCCAGCUUGUCAUUCAGCGCUUUGAUCUCCUUCCUGUGUUUGUCAUCAGAGUCAGCUGUUCCUCUAACGGUCCUAUCACAGUCCUCGUUGUAAUUGCCAUCUGAUUGAGCCAAGUUCUCAACCAAUUCUCAGCCUUCUUCAACAUCCUUGUUCUGGAAAUUCCCAUUGCUGGCGGUAUGCAGAAGCAUUCUGAUGCGUGGUAGGACUCCUCUGUAAAGAGUGCUGAGAAGAGAGGCUUUAGUAAAGCCAUGAUGAGGGCAUUGGUUGGUGUAACCCUUGAAACGCUCCCAUGCUUCACAGAAGCUUUCACCAGUCUUCUGUGAGAAACCAGAAAUCUCAUUUCUGAGUCUUGCAGUUUUGGCAUUGGAGAAGAACUUUGACAGAAAAGCCUUCUUACAAUCAUCCUAGGUGGUGAUUGAGUCAUGGGGCAGAUUCUUCUCCCAGAUAUGUGCUUUGUCGCCCAAGGAGAAUGGAAACAAACGGAGCUUGAAUCCGUUUUCACUGACACCAUUGAUCUUCGUUAGGUUGCAGAGCCUAUCGAAUUCAUCAAGGUGGUCGAGUGGAUCCUCCAUUGGCAAACCAUGGAAUUUGUUCCCCUGAAUCAUCGAGAUGAGACAACUCUUAAUCUCAAAAUUGUUGUUCUGGAUAGCAGGAGGUGCAAUUCCCUUCCUCUAACGGUGAUCACGUGGUGCAUCUCCAGCACCAAUGUUGGCAUGGCCAUUUUGUUGAUUCUGUUCUUCAGCCAUAACGAGUGGUUGCUGAGGUACAGGGUUGACUGUGGUUCUCCUUUUUCUGAGUUCGCGGGCUGUGCGGUUGAUGUUAUCGUUGAAAAGAAGGUUCUGGUUGCCUAUUGAUCGAGUUCGCAUACAGCAGAGGUGUACCUAAAUCAAGAAGACAACAAGAAAAACACAGUAAGUAACUGAAAAGAAAAUUGAAAAAGAACUUGAUCUAAGCAAGUCUGAAAUCUUAAAUGUAACAAACAAACACCCAAUUGGCAACGGCGCCAAAUUGAUAAUAGGUUUUUAGUCAAUUAUCCUAAAACACCAAUCAUGUCAUUGUAGUAUUUUAGGUUGUCAAUCCAAAUGGGUGUGAUGCUUACAAUCAAGAUGUGAUCAGAAGUCACUAAGUCAAGCCAAGCAUAACAGGUUUUGGUGUGUUCCAGCAGUCCUAAGUGAACAUGCAGAAAACAGAAAAUCAAACAGAAACAGUAAAACACUCGACCAACACAGCUCUUUGCAGAGUUCUGGGGGAGGUCGAGUGACAGGUCGAGUAACAGACAGGAAAUGAAACAGGGAUACUCGACUGCACAGUCUGUUGCCAGACAACUGGGUGGUCGAGUAUCAGAUCGAGUAACAGUAAAGAAUUGCAGAAACUAAGCAACAGAUGACAAUAUGCAGUAAACAGUAGUAGAGUAAACAAUAAAAUCAAUCAGAUAAAGAAUUCCUAAGGAUGGGAUAAUUGAGUAGUUUCGUUUCCUCAGUUUACAGGUGAUUGACAUGCUCAAUAAAUUAACCCUAGACAACAAGUUCAUUAACCAAAUCUAAGUGCCACCGCAACAGAGACUCUCAAGCUAACCUAGUCCCAGACUCAAUCACCAUUGACGAGAGCUAACCUAACAGGCAUUACGAAUCAACAAGUUAAAGCCAAAACGCUCUCUGCAACCAAUACCUUGGUACAGGGUCACGAAUCUCUGGAAUUAGUGGUUCAGACAUUUCAUCGAACACCUUUUGGGCGCGGAAAUGUCUGGGCUCAAAUUCCAGUUGAUCAGAAAGCAAUAGGCAUUAAGAACAACUAAUCCAGAAGGGAUCUAUCAAUCAAUACUCAAUCACCUAGCAUACUGAGAAUUCUACACUACUCUAACCCAUCCUCAGAAACCUAUUCACUACUUAGACAUCAUAACAGAAAGCAUAAACGUUGAACAGGUUGAAGACAUGAUAACAACAGUGUAACAGUAGUGUGAUAACAGAAUGAACAACAGUAAACGAAAAUCAAGAACCAAAGCUGAAUACUGAAUAGAUAAAGAGAAAUCUGGAUUAUAAAAAGUCUAGAACACAAGGUAUGCGGAAAUAAAACUAGGUAAAAACUUCUUUUCUGCGAAAAUGAGAAGUACAUGCUACUUAUAGCCAAAUAUCCCGAAACCCUAACACUCAAAACGACGAAGUAUUUGGACGGGUUAAGAACUGUACUCGACCCAGGUGGUCGAGUGAGAGGUCGAGUGAAUAGCUGGAGUCUUCUUUUCCUCCUUGUGCUCGAGUGUCUGGUUGAGUGCAGAAUGAAGAAGGCUCUGAAGCUUGUCAUCGAGUAUGCAGUCGAGUGGUGUGAUGGAGGUACUCGACCUCUAGGAAGAGUGAUGUGGUCGAGUAGUGGUCUGGCAGUGAAGGUGAAGACACUCGACCUCAUGGUCGAGUGAAGUGAUCGAGUGAUGGAGACGAGGGCACUCGACCUCGUGUUCGAGUGGUGAAGUGAAGUGGUGAUGUCCUCUGCUCGACCUGGGGGUCGAGUGGUCUCUUGAGGUCUUGAAGCUCCUACUCGACCUCUGGGUCGAGUGGUUUGUCACGAUCAGGUCCGCUUCUUCCUGAUAGCUCGUCAACAGCUCCAAAUCACCUGAAAUCAACGCAAAUAUGCAACAUGCAUGCAAAACUAUCCUAAACAUGCAAAGUGAUGACAAAUGAUGUGAAAUGGUAUAAAACAGUGAUGAUAUGAUGCUAAAGUGAUGACAAAUGGAUGCUCAAAACAUGCAAAAUACACACUUAUCAGGCUACACCAUCAAAUCUUUGAGAAGCAAGAAGAAUAUUGGUUAGUGUUUUGGAGUGAAAUAUGACUAGAUGUCAUGUGUAUGAGUAAGUAUA
RNAcentral lists this small RNA (8012 nucleotides) under Arabidopsis thaliana (thale cress). RNAcentral's name for it is "ATSL271460". The stretch from base 5407 to 5513 matches the Rfam family "Plant small nucleolar RNA R71". The record is from RNAcentral. Lineage: Eukaryota; Viridiplantae; Streptophyta; Magnoliopsida; Brassicales; Brassicaceae.